UACGUAGGUGGCAAGCGUUGUCCGGAUUUACUGGGCGUAAAGAGCGCGCAGGCGGUCGUUCAAGUCGCGUGUGAAAGCCCCCGGCUCAACUGGGGAGGGUCACGCGAUACUGAUCGACUCGAAGGCAGGAGAGGGUAGUGGAAUUCCCGGUGUAGUGGUGAAAUGCGUAGAUAUCGGGAGGAACACCAGUGGCGAAGGCGGCUACCUGGCCUGUUCUUGACGCUGAGGCGCGAAAGCGUGGGGAGCGAACAGG
Molecule: ribosomal RNA, 253 nt
Filed under: uncultured bacterium
Lineage: Bacteria
Description: partial 16S ribosomal RNA
Rfam family: Bacterial small subunit ribosomal RNA
Source: RNAcentral